Molecule: transfer RNA, 86 nt
Filed under: Streptomyces melanogenes
Lineage: Bacteria; Bacillati; Actinomycetota; Actinomycetes; Kitasatosporales; Streptomycetaceae
Description: tRNA-Leu
Source: RNAcentral
ACGCCUCCUGUUGGGGUGGGAGUUGAGAUCGGCUGAGGGCCGGUUCAAGGGGUGAGCAGGCGGUCCUGUUCCACCGGUGGUGUGCC